Non-coding RNA from Oryctolagus cuniculus (rabbit), 5537 nucleotides. Lineage: Eukaryota; Metazoa; Chordata; Mammalia; Lagomorpha; Leporidae. The record is from RefSeq and is a predicted model, not a curated record.
GAAGGGACCCCAGAGCCUCCCUCCCCCUUCAUAUUCUCUCUCUCUCUCUCUCUCUCUCUCUCUCUCUCUCGAUCUAUCUCUGUCUCUCCUCUCACUCUCCUCUCUCUCCUCUCCUCUGUUUUCCAUGUGAGGACCCAGCAAGAAGGCAGCCAUUGUUGAACCAGGAAGAGAGCCCUCAUCACAUCUCCAGGUUGCUGGGACUUUGAUGCUGGACAUCCCAUCCUCUAGAAACAUGCUGUGAAUCUAGAAUCCUUGGAGACCACCACCCAGCAUGACGCCGAGUCAGAGAAGCAAUAACAAGAGGGUCACCAGAGUCACUGUCACCCUUCCAGGCAGAGUGGACAGUGAGAGAGAAAGAGAGAAAGGUCUUCCUUUGCCGUUGCUUCACCCUCCAGUAGCCGCCGCGGCCAGUGCGCUGCGGCCGGAUCCGAAGGCAGGAGCCAGGUGCUUCUCCUGGUCUCCCAUGGGGUGCAGGGCCCAAGGACUUGGGCCAUCCUCCACUGCACUCCCUGGCCACAGCAGAGAGCUGGCCUAGAAGAGGGGCAACCGGGACAGAAUCUGGCACCGCGACCAGGACUAGAACCCGGUGUGCCGGCGCCGCAAGGCGGAGGAUUAGCCUAGUGAGCCGCGGCUCUGGCCAAUGUUCUAAUAUAAGUUUAAUUAUAUCUUCUAUAUUAUUACCUCUUUUUCAGCUACUUGCAAAAAAUUUUUGAUUCUAUAAAUAUCACUAUAUAAAAUACAAUACUGUUAUUUGCUGCACAAUAUUCAAAACUGUUGGAUCUUCAUUAUAUGAAUUGUACAUGUUGGUAUAAUACCUCAUUUCUUUAAUUACUUUUUUCUCUGAAUUAUACCUUGACUUAUAAAAUUCCAAUAUAUUCUCUCCCUUAAUUUUCAUUUUCCUUGUGUGCACACACAUACACACACACACACUCAUACAUCUAUUUUCAAACAUUCUGAAUCACCUGGUUUUAGAUGUGCAUCUUAAAGUACAACAGAGUGUAAUUUUGCUUUGUGAUCCUGUCUGAUUCUUUUCAUGGGUUAAAUUAAGGCCAUUUGCAUGCCUUGAUAUGGCAGAUUUACUUGUCCAUAAAUGUACUACUUAGUACUACCUGCAUUGGUCAUUGGUUUUAUAUACUAAAAAGGUCUUUCCCUGUGUUGUCUUCUUUUUAUUUUUUGUUCUAAUUUAGAAAGGUUUCUAAUUUUUGUUCUUGUGACUUACUUUUACACCUUUAAGUAAUACCCUACAUUUCUAAUUUCAUUGGAUAUAAUAUAUUUGUUCUUUAUUAACAGCAACAAUAAAAUCAGAUAGUCAUAGAUUCUCCCCUACACCAUUACCUUUGUGGUCUUAUGUUGAAAUUCUAUUACUUGAUUACAUAGGUUUAGAGGGUUCCCUUUGGCUCCCAGCUAUAAUACAUGAAGCAUUGACAUGCUUAUCCUACUUUCCAAUGCCUGCCUCUUUCAUUUGUAUUUGAUUAGUUGUUUUAUUUGUGCAUUGUCAGAAUAUAUGGGCUCUGGAUUCUGCUCUAUGCACCUCUACUGUAGAAGGACAUGCAGUGUUUGGUAGCCUCCAAAACACUACCAGGCAGCCGCAUAACACAGACUGCACAACAGGAAGGCUCUCGAGUGCAAUUAAGUCAUUUGGAUUCCAUGUUAAUUCAGUUACUUUCAAACACACAGUGAGAAACUAGAGGACUUCAUACAAGGUGCCAGAAGGCCAAGACCCCAAGUUUGUGCGACCUCUGCUUGUGUAUGCCAAGCAGUCCAGGCUGUGUUGCCUCUAAUAACUCCUGAACAGUUCAGCUGAUUUCUUCUUUCUCUUUUGUAAAUCUCCUCCUCCAGGGACCAGGGGUUUUAUGGCCAACUCUACUUGAGGGGAAGGAGAUGGCCCAUUUUGGAGUCUGUAUCACUGACUGGGACAUGUUCUGAGAACUGCAUCUUUAGGCAGUCUCAUUGUUGUGCAAACAUCCUCAAGUACACUUUCACAACCCCAGAACAGUCACUCACUCAUCAUCACCUACUGAUCUAACCAAGAGUCAUGGUAGGCACAAGCAGUAUGAGGCUGCCGCUAGCAUAACACAGCAGAUGGUUUUAUAACAACCCUUUUUUAAAUAGUUGGAAGGAGGAGAAUCUAAAAUAAUAAUACGAGGUAUAAUAUAUAGUAGCAAAUAUAUUAGCCUGUAAGAAUCAUUAAUGAUCACUAUCAAUAAUAUUCUGUGCAUCACUGCUAGGAGCUGUACUUUACACAACUGAUAGCUCUGUAGUUGAUUUACGACAGCAUCACCACAUACAUGUAUGAGGAAUGCAGUAAACAAGGGUGUCACGAUGACUAUACAUCACUGGCAGUUGCUGAUGUCAUAACCUCAUGGGUUAUGUCCAUUAUAACUUCAUGGAACAGCCAUUCCGUAUUCACUUAGUCCUUGGCUGAAGGGAUUGUUCAGCGCAUGGCUGUCCUUGGUGGCUGCACGUGUCCUGAAGACCUCAGCUCUCUGAUGGGCGAAGAAAACUCUAAUUUUGUGACUCAUCCGUUUUUUGUUGUUGUUAACAAGCUACCUACCUUCCUACUGAUUUCCUAUGUCUAUACACAAGAGGAAACUGUGUAGUUACUUUUACCAUGGAAGUUUUCCUAUUUUAAAUAUAGGAACAUAUAAAAAAUAUUUAAAUUAUUAUAACAGUUUACAUUUUCUGUUCUUAAUUUUCUUUCCUCUUCCCAAUAUCCCCUCAGCCUCACCCCUCAAACAAUGCAACAUCAGAAAUGAAACACUUUCAAAGUUUGUCUUGAACGGGUGUAAAAGAAAAGCCAGAUAGUCUGUGGCUGCUUUCAUCAUUUGUACAGAAUGAUAUGGUGCCAAAUAGACACAGUAAUAGAAACUUCUGGGUAAAGUUAUAGAAAUAGAGUUAAUAUUGAUGCUGUACCUCAAAGUCUGAACUAAUAGUAAUUCAAGAUAGACACAAUCAUUUUCUACAAUUUCCCUAAUAGAGUCUUUACAAUGAAAGCGCUCUUUGGCAUGAGCAGGUAUGGAUUUAUGAGGGGUACAAAAAGAAUGACAAAUGAUGCAAGGAUCAGCCAGGUGAUGAAAGAACACCACUAAAUUAUUAAUUUAUGUUCUAAGAUAUACAGAGACAGUCUCACACACAUUCAAUCUACCAAAAAGGAAACAGCCUUUGCUUUGCUGCAUACUACUGUGAAACUAAUAUUUGCAUAGAUUAUUCACAUUAACAAGAUAGGACAUGAAUAGUUUUUAUAUUGGCAUAAAAGGCAUGCAAUGUUUUUACAUUUUAUGCCAAUAUAAGUUUUGUUUAUUGAAGUAUGAUACAUAAAAAUGUUCAUAUUUUAUGCAUAAAAUGUGAAGUAGCAAAAUCCCCCUAAGUGUUUCUAAAUAAAUGUAUCAUUUCAAAGCCAGCAGGUUGAGUGAAUAGUGAGUGCUAUGUAGACUACUGCCACAGAAAAACAGUGCUUGGAUUGGGAAAAGAGCACCUUAGGAUUCCUAUUGGGAAAUUUAACUUUAAUUAUUACAUUUUGAGGAUUGGUUUAAACUACAUUCACAAGUGAUGUUAGUCAGUGGUUUUCUUUUUUGUGAUUUAUUUGGUUAGCUUUGGUAUCAGGAAAACACAGCUCAGAAUGAGUAGGGAAGCAUUCCUUCCUAUUUGGGGGUAGAGUGAGGGGGGACAGAAUUGCCACUGUUUCUUCCCAAAAUAUUUGCAAAAAUAAAGCAGCAAAGACCAAUAGGCCUAGGCUAUUUGUUGUGAGAAAUGUUAAAAUCACUAAUUAGGGGCCGGGGUUGUGGCACAGGCACCAGUUCCAGUCCUGGUUGCUCUGCUUUAGAUCCAGCUGCCUGCUAAUGUGCUUAAGACAGCAGCUGAAGAUGACCCAAGUACAUGGGCUCCUGAUGGCUAUGAGGCAGACCAAGAUGGAGUUCCUGGCGCCUGGCUCCAGCCUGGCCCACCCUGGGUCAUUCUGCACAUUUGAAGAAUAAAGAUCUCUCUGGGUAUUUGUCUCUGCAUCUCUUUGUCAGUCUUCCAAAUAAAUUAAUAAAUAUUUUUUUAAAAACCAGUAAUUGGCAGGCGCCGUGGCUCACUAGGCUAAUCCUCCGCCUGCGGCGCCAGCACUCCAGAUUCUAGUCCAAGUUGGGGCACCGAAUUCUGUCCCGGUUGCCCCCCUUCCAGGCCAGCUCUCUGCUGUGGCCCGGGAGUGCAGUGGAGGAUGGCCCAAGUGCUUGGGCCCUGCACCCCAUGGGAGACCAGGAGAAGCACCUGGCUCCUGCCUUCUGAUCAGCGCGGUGCACCGGCUGCAGCUCUCCGGCCGCAGCAGCCAUUGGGGAGUGAACCAACGGAAAAGGAAGACCUUUCUCUCUGUCUCUCUGUCUCUCUCACUGUCUAACUCUGCCUGUCAAAAAAAAAAAAAAAAAAAAAAACCUGGUAAUUUUCCUCCUUUGUAUUCACUUACGUCAGAUGUCAGUUGUGAUGCCUCCUUUUCAUCUCUAAUUUUAAUCAUUUGAGUUUUUUCUCUUUUUUCUUUGUUAGUCUGGCUAGAGGUUUAUCUUUUGUUUAUCUUCUCAAAAAACCAACUUUUUGUUUUGUUGACCUUUUGUAUUUUUUUUAGUUUUAAUUUCAUUUAUUUCUAUUCCAAUACUUAUUAUUUUCACCUCCUGUCUAUUUUGGGUUUGGUUUGUUAUUGUUGCCUUUUUCAUUUUUUUGUCUUCAAGAUGCAUCAUUAGGUCUUUAAUUUUAGACAUUUUAGACACUGGUCUUUAAUUUUAGACAUUUCUCUCUUUUUUUAAUAUAAGCACUUAAUGCUAUAAAAUUCCCUUUUAAGCCCAUGAGAGCAUUUCAGGCAUGGAAAGCCAAGACACUGUGGCAAAAAAAAUUACCUAAAUGAAAGAUCUCUGUGAGUGAGAUACCGGUGGAAAGAAGGGGCCAUUAAAGAGGGAGGUACCUUUCUCUGAAGGAAGGAGAGAACUUUCACUUUGACUAUGGCUUUGUCUAAAUAAGGUUGGAGUUUGUGAAUUCAAGUGGCUUCCAGAGCCUUGGCAGCUCAUGACAAGAGCCUUGGGUGAUCACUGACAUCAUAAAUAAGAGUGUCAAUUGUUAAAUCAGUAAGAGUCACUGAGUUCUUCUCCCCAUGUAGGAACUCUGCCCUUAAUGAAUUGUACUAUGAGAAUUAAUGGUAAAACUAGUCUUCAAACAGCACUUUAUGCUUUUUGUGUCUGUGUGGGUGCAAACUGUUGAAAUCUUUACUUAGUAUAGUGUUGAUCUUCUGUAUAUAAAGAUAAUUAAAAAUAAACCUUAAUGAAGAAUAGGAUGGGAGAGGGAGAGGGAGAUGGGAUGGUUUGGGGGUGACAUGGAGGGAAUGGGGGGAUGAACUGCUAUAAUCCAAAAAUUGUACUUAUGAAAUUUAUGUUUAUUAAAUAAAAUCCCUCUAUAAAAAACAAUUAGAGCAUAAGAAUUAAUUUGUUGAGAUUUUGCUUUUUAGGACAUAUAUGCUUUACACAAUCAUGGUAAGCACUUUCUGAAACAAGUAUACAAUGUUAUAAAAUACA